This 503-nucleotide ribosomal RNA is filed under the name uncultured bacterium. RNAcentral's name for it is "partial 16S ribosomal RNA". It matches the Rfam family "Bacterial small subunit ribosomal RNA", at positions 29 to 523 of the family's 1533-position model. The record is from RNAcentral.
AUUGAACGCUGGCGGCAGGCCUAACACAUGCAAGUCGGACGGUAGCACAGAGAGCUUGCUCUCGGGUGACGAGUGGCGGACGGGUGAGUAAUGUCUGGGGAUCUGCCCGAUAGAGGGGGAUAACCACUGGAAACGGUGGCUAAUACCGCAAACGUCGCAAGACCAAAGAGGGGGACCUUCGGGCCUCUCACUAUCGGAUGAACCCAGAUGGGAUUAGCUAGUAGGCGGGGUAACGGCCCACCUAGGUGACGAUCCCUAGCUGGUCUGAGAGGAUGACCAGCCACACUGGAACUGAGACACGGUCCAGACUCCUACGGGAGGCAGCAGUGGGGAAUAUUGCACAAUGGGCGCAAGCCUGAUGCAGCCAUGCCGCGUGUAUGAAGAAGGCCUUCGGGUUGUAAAGUACUUUCAGCGGGGAGGAAGGCGAUAAGGUUAAUAACCUUGUCGAUUGACGUUACCCGCAGAAGAAGCACCGGCUAACUCCGUGCCAGCAGCCGCAGUAA